Long non-coding RNA from Dromaius novaehollandiae (emu), 924 nucleotides. RefSeq lists it as uncharacterized. The transcript has 2 exons. Lineage: Eukaryota; Metazoa; Chordata; Aves; Casuariiformes; Dromaiidae. The record is from RefSeq and is a predicted model, not a curated record.
AAUCUGCUUUGGUGAAAACUUGCUGCAUCUCGUCAUUUCAAUUUCCUGUGAACUUCUUUUGGGAUUCAAAAAAUUAUAACAUAAACAUGAGAAAAGUGGAAGAAAAGGGACUGACACACAUAUAUGUGUAAGGAAACAAGUCCAUGAAAUCCAUGUAGAUAAAAGAGAAGCAAGACUGGCAGACUAGCAGGCCUCAGGAACGUGGUAGCACAUAACAGCAGGAUGGCAUGAGGAAGCUUACAUUUCUGUUGUCCAUACAUAACCUGUUUGGUGGGUAAUUAAAGGAUUUUAAUCUCCAGCACAGCCAAUCUGGCACCUUUCAAAAACUCAAAUUGGCAGGAGCUGAAGAAGAAAAAGAAAGAGCACUCUUAAUUCUCAUUAAAAGAGAAAAAAAAAUUAUGUGGAAAAGGUAAAUAAGUCUUAUGAACAGUGUAUCAUUUGUUUUCUGUGACUGAAUCACCACUGAAAAAGAUAAAGCUCAGCCUAACGCACCAUCUCCAGUGACCCUUUUAAAAUCAGGACACUGAAGCUCAUUUCAAAAUGAGAUCCGAUUUUAACAACUGUUAGAAGAAAGAGGGCAUAGGAAUGAAGGAGUGAUCUGGAGGGUAUGCAAUCAUGAAGAUGAACCUUUCUGUGACGUGUUUGACUACCUGUGGAGCACCAUUCAUGCUUCUCCAAGCCCUAAAGUGAAUUCUUCAUGAUGCAGAGGCCUUUCCAGACUGACAGAAAGGCAAGAGAAGUCAUCAUGUUAACCACAGUUAUGUGUAUAAUCUUCUGCCUUCCCCAACACCUGCAGCUCUGCUAAAAAUCUGCUUCUUAAGUAAUUUAUUUCCAUGAGGGGAAAUGAUGAGAGAGCCUAAUCAGUGCUGUACAUCCCUGAAAAUCAAAAGAUAAAUCUGGAAAAAAUCAAAUAAAGAAAUGACC